This 60-nucleotide transfer RNA is filed under the name Pseudoeurycea werleri (Werler's false brook salamander). RNAcentral describes it as "tRNA-Asp". The record is from RNAcentral. Lineage: Eukaryota; Metazoa; Chordata; Amphibia; Caudata; Plethodontidae.
AAGAUGUUAGUAAAAAUUACAAGGCCUUGUCAUGGCUUAACUGCUAGCUAACACAUCUUG